This 627-nucleotide ribosomal RNA is filed under the name uncultured bacterium. RNAcentral's name for it is "bacterial SSU rRNA". It matches the Rfam family "Bacterial small subunit ribosomal RNA", at positions 9 to 666 of the family's 1533-position model. The record is from RNAcentral.
GAGUUUGAUCCUGGUUCAGGAUGAACGCUGGCGGCGUGCCUAACACAUGCAAGUCGAGCGAACCCUUCGGGGUGAGCGGCGGACGGGUGAGUAACGCGUGGGUAACCUGCCCUGUACACACGGAUAACAUACCGAAAGGUAUGCUAAUACGAGAUAACAUAUUUUAAUCGCAUGGUUAAGAUAUCAAAGCUCCGGCGGUACAGGAUGGACCCGCGUCUGAUUAGCUAGUUGGUGAGGUAAUGGCUCACCAAGGCGACGAUCAGUAGCCGACCUGAGAGGGUGAUCGGCCACACUGGAACUGAGACACGGUCCAGACUCCUACGGGAGGCAGCAGUGGGGAAUAUUGCACAAUGGGCGAAAGCCUGAUGCAGCAACGCCGCGUGAGCGAUGAAGGCCUUCGGGUCGUAAAGCUCUGUCCUCAAGGAAGAUAAUGACGGUACUUGAGGAGGAAGCCCCGGCUAACUGCGUGCCAGCAGCCGCGGUAAUACGUAGGGGGCUAGCGUUAUCCGGAAUUACUGGGCGUAAAGGGUGCGUAGGCGGUCUUUCAAGCCAGAAGUGAAAGGCUACGGCUCAACCGUAGUAAGCUUUUGGAACUGUAAGACUUGAGUGCAGGAGAGGAGAGUGGAA